This 274-nucleotide ribosomal RNA is filed under the name uncultured Prevotella sp. Its description in RNAcentral is "partial 16S ribosomal RNA". It matches the Rfam family "Bacterial small subunit ribosomal RNA", at positions 83 to 355 of the family's 1533-position model. Lineage: Bacteria; Pseudomonadati; Bacteroidota; Bacteroidia; Bacteroidales; Prevotellaceae. The record is from RNAcentral.
CCUUGAUGACGACUGGCGCACGGGUGAGUAACGCGUAUCCAACCUUCCCAUAACUACGGGAUAACCCGUUGAAAGACGGCCUAAUACCGUAUGAUAUCGUUUGCUGACAUCAAAUAACGAUUAAAGGUUUAGCGGUUAUGGAUGGGGAUGCGUCUGAUUAGCUUGUUGGCGGGGUAACGGCCCACCAAGGCUACGAUCAGUAGGGGUUCUGAGAGGAAGGUCCCCCCACAUUGGAACUGAGACACGGUCCAAACUCCUACGGGAGGCAGCAGUU